GAUGAACGCUGGCGGCGUGCCUAAUACAUGCAAGUCGAACGCAUUGAGAGAAGUGCUUGCACUUUUCAAUUUGAGUGGCGGACGGGUGAGUAACACGUGGGCAACCUGCCUUUGAGGCCGGGAUAACACCGGGAAACCGGUGCUAAUACCGGAUACGUCCUCUUUCGCGCCUGCGAGAGGGGAGAAAGACGGUCUUUAAGGCCGUCGCUCAAAGAGGGGCCCGCGGCGCAUUAGCUAGUUGGUGGGGCAAGGGCCUACCAAGGCGACGAUGCGUUGCCGACCUGAGAGGGUGAUCGGCCACACUGGGACUGAGACACGGCCCAGACUCCUGCGGGAGGCAGCAGUAGGGAAUCAUCCGCAAUGGGCGAAAGCCUGACGGUGCAACGCCGCGUGAGUGAGGAAGGUUUUCGGAUCGUAAAGCUCUGUUGUGAGGGAAGAACAGCUUCCGGAGGAAAUGCCGGAGGUUUGCCGGUACCUCACCAGAAAGCCCCGGCUGACUACGUGCCAGCCGCCGCGGUAA
Molecule: ribosomal RNA, 520 nt
Filed under: uncultured bacterium
Lineage: Bacteria
Description: partial 16S ribosomal RNA
Rfam family: Bacterial small subunit ribosomal RNA
Source: RNAcentral